This 295-nucleotide long non-coding RNA is filed under the name Actinidia chinensis (golden kiwifruit). Its description in RNAcentral is "long non-coding RNA (ACHI_LNC003199)". The record is from RNAcentral. Lineage: Eukaryota; Viridiplantae; Streptophyta; Magnoliopsida; Ericales; Actinidiaceae.
AUAACUCUUAUAGGUUAUGUAUUCUGGGCGGGAGAGGAUAGAGAGAGAAGAAAAUAAAGAUAGAGAGGGUGAGCUAAUAGUGAAGAGCCUUCGGGCUGCUCGAUUGUGAAAUAAAAAUGGUGAGGGUAAAAUAAAUAUGUAGAGAGUGAGAGAAAAAAUACUAUGAUACACCAUGAUGAGCAAUUACUUAAGUACCCUUGAGCGUGGGGCUCGGGUAGUGGUGUGAAUUUUAUGUGUUUUGUCCAUCUCACAAUUGUUGUAAUCUCUAUGUUUCUCUCUCACAAUUGGACUGAAC